RNAcentral lists this ribosomal RNA (265 nucleotides) under uncultured prokaryote. Its description in RNAcentral is "partial 16S ribosomal RNA". It matches the Rfam family "Bacterial small subunit ribosomal RNA", at positions 524 to 788 of the family's 1533-position model. The record is from RNAcentral.
UACGGAGGGGGCUAGCGUUGUUCGGAAUUACUGGGCGUAAAGCGCACGUAGGCGGAUCAGCCAGUCAGGGGUGAAAUCCCGGGGCUCAACCCCGGAACUGCCCUUGAUACUGCUGGUCUGGAGUUCGAGAGAGGCGAGUGGAAUUCCGAGUGUAGAGGUGAAAUUCGUAGAUAUUCGGAGGAACACCAGUGGCGAAGGCGGCUCGCUGGCUCGACACUGACGCUGAGGUGCGAAAGCGUGGGGAGCAAACAGGAUUAGAUACCCG